AUGGAGAGACUUGUUAAUGUUCAUUACAUGGACAAGGAGGCAUUCUUGAGUAACAGUGCCGACACGGGUGAGGAACCAUUGGUUUUUGAUACAAGCCCUAGCUAUGAGGAUGUUGUUGCAAAAGUGAGACAAGUCUUAAAGUGGAUGGACACCAAUGUUGAUGUUAAAUUAAUAGGAAGGUAUGAUGUUGGAGUUGGAGCCAAAUCUCGCUUGAGAAGUAUGCCUAUCGCCUCAGAUUUGCAUUGGGAUGUAUACAAGGAAAAAGUUUCCCAAUCGGAAGACAAGUCACUUGAAUUGUUUGCCACCAAGGUUGAAUCUCCUCGGUUUACCUUUGAUUUGAACCGGCAUGUCUCUUCCCCAAUGGAUGACAUGAGCGAGAGGACAAUGGCCCCCAAUGCUUCUAGCCAACCACCAACUAGCCAA
RNAcentral lists this ribosomal RNA (423 nucleotides) under Triticum aestivum (bread wheat). RNAcentral describes it as "partial small subunit ribosomal RNA". The record is from RNAcentral. Lineage: Eukaryota; Viridiplantae; Streptophyta; Magnoliopsida; Poales; Poaceae.